AUUGAACGCUGGCGGCAGGCUUAACACAUGCAAGUCGAACGGUAACGGGAAGGAAGCUUGCUUUCUUUGCUGACGAGUGGCGGACGGGUGAGUAAUGCUUGGGAAUCUGUUUUAUGGAGGGGGAUAACUACGGGAAACUGUAGCUAAUACCGCGUAAUAUCGAGAGAUUAAAGUGUGGGACCGCAAGGCCACAUGCCAUGAAGUGAGCCCAAGUGGGAUUAGGUAGUUGGUGGGGUAAAGGCCUACCAAGCCGUCGAUCUCUAGCUGGUCUGAGAGGAUGACCAGCCACACUGGGACUGAGACACGGCCCAGACUCCUACGGGAGGCAGCAGUGGGGAAUAUUGCACAAUGGGCGCAAGCCUGAUGCAGCCAUGCCGCGUGAAUGAAGAAGGCCUUCGGGUUGUAAAGUUCUUUCGGUGGUGAGGAAGGUUGGCGUGUUAAUAGCACGUUGAUUUGACGUUAGCCACAGAAGAAGCACCGGCUAACUCCGUGCCAGCAGCCGCGGUAAUACGGAGGGUGCGAGCGUUAAUCGGAAUAACUGGGCGUAAAGGGCACGCAGGCGGAUACUUAAGUGAGGUGUGAAAGCCCUGGGCUUAACCUAGGAAUUGCAUUUCAUACUGGGUAUCUAGAGUAUUUUAGGGAGGGGUAGAAUUCCACGUGUAGCGGUGAAAUGCGUAGAGAUGUGGAGGAAUACCGAAGGCGAAGGCAGCCCCUUGGGGGAAUACUGACGCUCAUGUGCGAAAGCGUGGGGAGCAAACAGG
Molecule: ribosomal RNA, 761 nt
Filed under: uncultured bacterium
Lineage: Bacteria
Description: bacterial SSU rRNA
Rfam family: Bacterial small subunit ribosomal RNA
Source: RNAcentral